RNAcentral lists this ribosomal RNA (492 nucleotides) under uncultured bacterium. Its description in RNAcentral is "partial 16S ribosomal RNA". It matches the Rfam family "Bacterial small subunit ribosomal RNA", at positions 30 to 507 of the family's 1533-position model. The record is from RNAcentral.
AUCGAACGCUGGCGGCGUGCUUUACACAUGCAAGUCGAACGGUAACAGGCCUUCGGGUGCUGACGAGUGGCGAACGGGUGAGUAAUGCAUCGGAACGUUCCCAGAGGUUGGGGAUAACGCAGCGGAAGCUGUGCUAAUACCGCAUGUGAUCUGAGGAUGAAAUCGGGGGAGCUGGCAGCAAUGUUUGGCCUCGCGCGUUUGGAGCGGCCGAUGUCGGAUUAGUUAGUUGGUGGGGUAAAGGCCUACCAAGCGGGCGAUCUGUAGCUGGUCUGAGAGAACGACCAGCCACACUGGGACUGAGACGCGGCCCAGACUCCUACGGGAGGCACCAGUGGGGAAUUUUGGACAAUGGGCGCAAGCCUGAUCCAGCAAUGCCGCGUGCGGGAAGAAGGCCUUCGGGUUGUAAACCGCUUUUGUACGGAACGAAAAGGCUCUGGCUAAUACCUGGGGCUGAUGACGGUACCGGAAGAAUAAGCACCGGCUAACUACGUG